UACAGAGGUGGCAAGCGUUGCUCGGUAUCACUGGGCUUAAAGGGCGCGUAGGCGGUGCGGUACGGUUUCGGUGAAAUCCCUCGGCCCAACCGAGGAACAGCCGGAGCUACGGCCGGACUAGACGGCAUCAGGGGACAGUGGAACUCCCGGUGGAGCGGUGAAAUGCGUAGAUAUCGGGAGGAACACCUAUAGCGAAGGCAGCUUGCUGGGACGUUACUGACGCUAAGGCGCGAAAGCGUGGGGAGCGAACAGG
RNAcentral lists this ribosomal RNA (253 nucleotides) under uncultured bacterium. RNAcentral describes it as "partial 16S ribosomal RNA". It matches the Rfam family "Bacterial small subunit ribosomal RNA", at positions 524 to 776 of the family's 1533-position model. The record is from RNAcentral.